ACUAGCGUUGUCUUACCAGAUCCCGGCAUUCCAAUCACUGAAAUAAGAGUAAGAGUUUGAUGCUUUUCACUAUCCAUUAACCACGUUUUCAAUGAUCGACUUUCAUCUUUAAACCCUACAACAUCAUCUUCUUUCAUAAAAAGAGAUGAAUCCCUUUGAUACAAUGGCAAACUGUAGUCGGCAUUAGAACCUUCUAUACGAUCAACAACAAUAUAUCUCUGUCUCCUCUCAUCCAUGCCUUUGAUUUUUUUAUUGAUCUGUUGCAGCUUGGAGGCAAUCGCAUGCUUCUCCGAAAGAGUUUUUGGAGUGCGAAAAA
RNAcentral lists this unclassified non-coding RNA (316 nucleotides) under Hevea brasiliensis (rubber tree). The record is from RNAcentral. Lineage: Eukaryota; Viridiplantae; Streptophyta; Magnoliopsida; Malpighiales; Euphorbiaceae.